GUGGGGAUAGACCUCAGUGGUAGAGCACUUGACUAGUAUACAGGAGGCCCUGAGUUCAAUCCAAUCCCCAUU
RNAcentral lists this transfer RNA (72 nucleotides) under Marmota monax (woodchuck). RNAcentral describes it as "tRNA.Thr". The record is from RNAcentral. Lineage: Eukaryota; Metazoa; Chordata; Mammalia; Rodentia; Sciuridae.